RNAcentral lists this unclassified non-coding RNA (264 nucleotides) under Hevea brasiliensis (rubber tree). Lineage: Eukaryota; Viridiplantae; Streptophyta; Magnoliopsida; Malpighiales; Euphorbiaceae. The record is from RNAcentral.
GUAGUUUCAGAUCUGUGGAAACCUGAAAAGUAUAGAUCGAAUUCAGAAAUGAAAAGUAGAUACCAAUUAUUCAACUAAUUAACUACAAAAGCAACCAUAAUUUCCCCAAGGCAACUGCUUUGAAAAAAAAAAAUAGAGGGUGUGCAUAUAAGAUUUAGUCUUAACAUGUUAGUAGGCACAUCAGAUAUCCACAACUAUGACCUAUUGAAAUUUCAAACCCAAGUUAUUUGAAGAGCUGCUUUCAUAUCUUUUAUAGCUUGUUUU